This 678-nucleotide ribosomal RNA is filed under the name Vulpicida pinastri. RNAcentral describes it as "SSU rRNA". It matches the Rfam family "Bacterial small subunit ribosomal RNA", at positions 378 to 1037 of the family's 1533-position model. Lineage: Eukaryota; Fungi; Ascomycota; Lecanoromycetes; Lecanorales; Parmeliaceae. The record is from RNAcentral.
AUAGCUACUUGCAUCAUUGUAAAUAUGAUGCAAGAUCGACUAUGUCGAAUAAAAUUCUAGGUAGAAUUAUGAUAAUGACAUUGUCUGCCUAUGUGUCUUGACCAAAUUACGUGCCAGCAGUCGCGGUAAUACGUAGAAGACUAGUGUUAUUCAUGUUUAAUCGGUUUAAAGGGUACCUAGACGGUAAAUCAAGCCUAAAAGGAAAUAAAUGAAGGGACUAAUUUACUAGAGUUACUUAUGAGGGGGUAUUAAAGUACUGCUGGUGUAGAGAUGAAAUUCUGUCAUACCUCUUUUCAAUAGAAAAAUAAUGGCACAGGUAUAGGCGAAAGCAUCCCCUUAUGUGAUAACUGACGUUGAGGGACGAAGGCUUUGUGUAGCGAACAGGAUUAGAUACCCCAGUAGUCAAAGCAGAAAAUGAUGAAUGUCAUAGAUUAGAUAUAUAAGUUUAUUCUAUAAAUGAAAGUGUAAGCAUUCCACCUCAAGAGUAAUUUGGCAACAUUGGAACUGAAAUCAUUAGACCGUUUCUGAAACCAGUAGUGAAGUAUGUUGUUUAAUUUGAUGAUCCGCAAAAAACCUUACCACAAUUUGAAUAUUUAUAUCUUUUAUUGUUUUUCUUUUUAACUUUUUCUAAUUUUCUACUUAAAAGAAAAAAAAUAACAAGAAAAAAGAGACAAUAAG